This 497-nucleotide ribosomal RNA is filed under the name uncultured bacterium. Its description in RNAcentral is "partial 16S ribosomal RNA". It matches the Rfam family "Bacterial small subunit ribosomal RNA", at positions 28 to 507 of the family's 1533-position model. The record is from RNAcentral.
GAUGAACGCUGGCGGCGUGCCUAAUACAUGCAAGUCGAGCGAACGGACGAGAAGCUUGCUUCUCUGAUGUUAGCGGCGGACGGGUGAGUAACACGUGGAUAACCUACCUAUAAGACUGGGAUAACUUCGGGAAACCGGAGCUAAUACCGGAUGAUAUUUUGAACCGCAUGGUUCAAAAGUGAAAGACGGUCUUGCUGUCACUUAUAGAUGGAUCCGCGCUGCAUUAGCUAGUUGGUAAGGUAUCGGCUUACCAAGGCAACGAUGCAUAGCCGACCUGAGAGGGUGAUCGGCCACACUGGAACUGAGACACGGUCCAGACUCCUACGGGAGGCAGCAGUAGGGAAUCUUCCGCAAUGGGCGAAAGCCUGACGGAGCAACGCCGCGCGAGUGAUGAAGGUCUUCGGAUCGUAAAACUCUGUUAUUAGGGAAGAACAUAUGUGUAAGUAACUGUGCACAUCUUGACGGUACCUAAUCAGAAAGCCACGGCUAACUACGUG